RNAcentral lists this ribosomal RNA (405 nucleotides) under uncultured bacterium. RNAcentral's name for it is "bacterial SSU rRNA". It matches the Rfam family "Bacterial small subunit ribosomal RNA", at positions 355 to 775 of the family's 1533-position model. The record is from RNAcentral.
UGGGGAAUCUUCCGCAAUGGACGAAAGUCUGACGGAGCAACGCCGCGUGGGUGACGAAGGCCUUCGGGUUGUAAAGCCCUGUCUUCAGGGAAGAAAAAAAUGACGGUACCUGAGGAGGAAGCCACGGCUAACUACGUGCCAGCAGCCGCGGUAAUACGUAGGUGGCAAGCGUUGUCCGGAAUUAUUGGGCGUAAAGGGCGCGUAGGCGGGACAUAAGUCAGGUGUGUAAUCUUUGGGCUUAACCCAGAGUUUGCAUCUGAUACUGGAGUUCUUGAGUGCAGGAGAGGACAGUGGAAUUCCUAGUGUAGCGGUGAAAUGCGUAGAUAUUAGGAGGAACACCAGUGGCGAAGGCGGCUGUCUGGACUGUAACUGACGCUGAGGCGCGAAAGCGUGGGGAGCAAACAG